AAAUUGAAGAGUUUGAUCAUGGCUCAGAUUGAACGCUGGCGGCAGGCCUAACACAUGCAAGUCGAGCGGUAACAGGAAGAAGCUUGCUUCUUUGCUGACGAGCGGCGGACGGGUGAGUAAUGUCUGGGAAACUGCCUGAUGGAGGGGGAUAACUACUGGAAACGGUAGCUAAUACCGCAUAACGUCGCAAGACCAAAGAGGGGGACCUUCGGGCCUCUUGCCAUCGGAUGUGCCCAGAUGGGAUUA
This 246-nucleotide non-coding RNA is filed under the name Mangrovibacter sp. MFB070. RNAcentral describes it as "Bacterial small subunit ribosomal RNA". It matches the Rfam family "Bacterial small subunit ribosomal RNA", at positions 1 to 243 of the family's 1533-position model. The record is from Rfam by way of RNAcentral. Lineage: Bacteria; Pseudomonadati; Pseudomonadota; Gammaproteobacteria; Enterobacterales; Enterobacteriaceae.